RNAcentral lists this transfer RNA (69 nucleotides) under Marmota monax (woodchuck). It matches the Rfam family "tRNA". From Rfam's summary of the family: Transfer RNA (tRNA) molecules are approximately 80 nucleotides in length. Their secondary structure includes four short double-helical elements and three loops (D, anti-codon, and T loops). Lineage: Eukaryota; Metazoa; Chordata; Mammalia; Rodentia; Sciuridae. The record is from Rfam by way of RNAcentral.
GGUGUUGUGGCUCAGUGGUAGAGCAAUUGCCUUGAAUGUGUGAGGCCCUGAGUUCAAUCCUCAGCACCA